UACAUCAGCCGUGCCACCAUGAACAUGCCUGAUAUCAUCUAAUCUCGGAACUAAGAGUUGGGUUGAGUUAGUUCUUGAAUGGGAGACCACCUGGAACUGCCAGGUGCUUUAA
This 112-nucleotide ribosomal RNA is filed under the name Oryzias latipes (Japanese medaka). The record is from RNAcentral. Lineage: Eukaryota; Metazoa; Chordata; Actinopteri; Beloniformes; Adrianichthyidae.